UGAAUACGAGACGCUAAGGCGUCGAAGUAGUGUAUAUCAGACUUCCAAGAAAAGCUUGCACUGUCAUAGAUAAAAAAUGCCUGUACCAUAACCGACACAGGUGGGUAGGUAGAGUAUACUAAGGGGCGCGAGAUAACUCUCUCUAAGGAACUCGGCAAAAUAACUCCGUAACUUCGGGAGAAGGAGUGCCUUAUUUAUAAGGUUGCAAUAACAAGAUCCAAGCAACUGUUUAUCAAAAACACAGGUCUCCGCUAAGUCGUAAGACGAUGUAUGGGGGCUGACGCCUGCCCAGUGCCAGAAGGUUAAAGAAGUUGGUUAGCAAUUGCGAAGCUGAUAACUGAAGCCUGGUGAACGGCGGCCGUAACGAUAACGGUCCUAAGGUAGCGAAAUUCCUUGUCGGGUAAGUUCCGACCCGCACGAAAGGCGUAAUGAUUUGGAUACUGUCUCGGAGAGGGGCUCGGUGAAAUAGACUUGUCUGUGAAGAUGCGGACUACCUGCACCAGGACAGAAAGACCCUAUGAAGCUUUACUGUAAUUUGAAAUUGAAAUUGGACUUUAUUCGCGCAGCAUAGGUGGGAGGCGUUGAUUAUAAUCUUGCGGGAUUAUUGGAGCCAUCAGUGAGAUACCACUCUUGUAAUGUUAGAUUUCUAACUUUGAAUCAUUAUCUGGUCAAAGAACAGUUUCAGGCGGGCAGUUUGACUGGGGCGGUCGCCUCCUAAAUGGUAACGGAGGCGUACAAAGGUUUCCUCUGAACGGUUAGAAAUCGUAUCUAGAGUGUAAAGGCAUAAGGAAGCUUGACUGUGAGACCUACAAGUCGAGCAGGGACGAAAGUCGGUCUUAGUGAUCUGACGGUACUGAGUGGAAAGGCCGUCACUCAACGGAUAAAAGUUACUCUAGGAUAACAGGCUGAUCUCCCCCAAGAGUUCACAUCGACGGGGAGGUUUGGCACCUCGAUGUCGGCUCAUCGCAUCCUGGGGCGGUAGUACGUCCCAAGGGUUGGGCUGUUCGCCCAUGAAAGCGGUACGCGAGCUGGGUUCAGAACGUCGUGAGACAGUUCGGUCCAUAUCCGGUGUAGGCGUUAGAAUAUUGAGAGGAGCCUUCUUUAGUACGAGAGGACCGAGAAGGACAUACCUCUGGUGUACCAGUUAUCGUGCCAACGGUAAACGCUGGGUAGCUAUGUAUGGAGUGGAUAACCGCUGAAAGCAUCUAAGUGGGAAGCCCACCUCAAGAUAAGUA
Molecule: ribosomal RNA, 1235 nt
Filed under: metagenome
Description: bacterial LSU rRNA
Rfam family: Bacterial large subunit ribosomal RNA
Source: RNAcentral